GAGGAGGCCGGCCAGGGUGCGGAGCGGCCCCGGCCCGCUCCCAGGGGGGAGAUGGCGUCCUACGUAGAUAACAGCUUCCGCCAGGCGGUGAUGAAGAAUCCCCCCGAAAGGACCCCCCAGGAUCUGGAAAUAGUAUAUUCCUAUUUACAUGGUAUGGAAGCCUUAUCAAACUUGAGGGAGCAUCAACUUAGGUUAAUGUGUGAAACUGUGAGAUAUGAGAGACACGAAGCAAAUGAAGUUUUAUACUAUUCCCUUGUCAACUUCAACUUGAUCGCUUGCAUUUACUGGCCGCCUCCUU
Molecule: long non-coding RNA, 298 nt
Filed under: Pan troglodytes (chimpanzee)
Lineage: Eukaryota; Metazoa; Chordata; Mammalia; Primates; Hominidae
Description: long non-coding RNA NONPTRT012768
Source: RNAcentral